GACGAACGCUGGCGGCGUGCCUAAUACAUGCCAGUAGAACGCUGAAGGAGGAGCUUGCUUCUCUGGAUGAGUUGCGAACGGGUGAGUAACGCGUAGGUAACCUGCCUGGUAGCGGGGGAUAACUAUUGGAAACGAUAGCUAAUACCGCAUAAGAGUAGAUGCUGCAUGACAUUUGCUUAAAAGGUGCAAUUGCAUCACUACCAGAUGGACCUGCGUUGUAUUAGCUAGUUGGUGAGGUAACGGCUCACCAAGGCGACGAUACAUAGCCGACCUGAGAGGGUGAUCGGCCACACUGGGACUGAGACACGGCCCAGACUCCUACGGGAGGCAGCAGUAGGGAAUCUUCGGCAAUGGACGGAAGUCUGACCGAGCAACGCCGCGUGAGUGAAGAAGGUUUUCGGAUCGUAAAGCUCUGUUGUAAGAGAAGAACGGGUGUGAGAGUGGAAAGUUCACACUGUGACGGUAGCUUACCAGAAAGGGACGGCUAACUACGUG
RNAcentral lists this ribosomal RNA (495 nucleotides) under uncultured bacterium. RNAcentral's name for it is "partial 16S ribosomal RNA". It matches the Rfam family "Bacterial small subunit ribosomal RNA", at positions 28 to 507 of the family's 1533-position model. The record is from RNAcentral.